CCAAGGAGCAGCCCCGCGCCUGCAUUGCAGAGGCUGUCCGGACGGCGAUUGAUUUGUAGCUGUUGAGGGAAUACUGGCUCGUUACUGAGAGCACGAAGAUCAGCAAUGGCCCUCAGAUUUUUAAGUGAGAGGUAAGACUGCUGAAGAGAGAGACAGAGAAAGCCAGAGAGGACAAGACACAAGGGGAAACCCAGCAGGAGCUUGAAAACAACGUGUCAGGAGUCGGCUGUUCUCUAGGGGUUCUUCGCACCUCAACCCCCCGGUCAGCUGUGCGCUGGUGAGGCGAGCCGGCUGCUUUGCUACUUCCGUUAGCACAAUGUCCUUUGACCCGCAUUGAACCAUAGGAUAGGGUGGCCCACGAAGGAUACAACGGACCCGUCCUUCAUAUCUGGGGAAAAGAAGGACGCAUUUGUCAGCCCUAUUUGGAGGAACCUGCAAAGUUGUAGACUUCAUUACCUCAUAAUGACGUAAUCAGUCAACAAAUGCAUCCUUCAAAGAAUGCAGCCCCUCAAUUUGGACACAGCAAUAGUGAAUGACACCCGUGAAUCGGUGAAUCUGUGUUUGAUUAAUCUGUGGC
Molecule: long non-coding RNA, 577 nt
Organism: Girardinichthys multiradiatus
Lineage: Eukaryota; Metazoa; Chordata; Actinopteri; Cyprinodontiformes; Goodeidae
Exons: 3
Source: RefSeq, a predicted model, not a curated record